UACAGAGGGUGCGAGCGUUAAUCGGAAUUACUGGGCGUAAAGCGCACGUAGUCGGCUUUGCAAGUCGGGUGUGAAAUCCCCGGGCUCAACCUGGGAACUGCAUCCGAGACUGCAUUGCUAGAGUAUGGGAGAGGGAAGCGGAAUUUCUGGUGUAGCAGUGAAAUGCGUAGAUAUCAGAAGGAACAUCAGUGGCGAAGGCGGCUUCCUGGAUCACCCCUGACGCUGAGACGCGAAAGCGUGGGGAGCGAACGGG
RNAcentral lists this ribosomal RNA (253 nucleotides) under uncultured bacterium. RNAcentral's name for it is "partial 16S ribosomal RNA". It matches the Rfam family "Bacterial small subunit ribosomal RNA", at positions 524 to 776 of the family's 1533-position model. The record is from RNAcentral.